RNAcentral lists this ribosomal RNA (597 nucleotides) under Neisseria gonorrhoeae. RNAcentral describes it as "bacterial LSU rRNA". It matches the Rfam family "Bacterial large subunit ribosomal RNA", at positions 2055 to 2651 of the family's 2925-position model. Lineage: Bacteria; Pseudomonadati; Pseudomonadota; Betaproteobacteria; Neisseriales; Neisseriaceae. The record is from RNAcentral.
GAAGAUGCAAUCUACCCGCUGCUAGACGGAAAGACCCCGUGAACCUUUACUGUAGCUUUGCAUUGGACUUUGAAGUCACUUGUGUAGGAUAGGUGGGAGGCUUGGAAGCAGAGACGCCAGUCUCUGUGGAGUCGUCCUUGAAAUACCACCCUGGUGUCUUUGAGGUUCUAACCCAGACCCGUCAUCCGGGUCGGGGACCGUGCAUGGUAGGCAGUUUGACUGGGGCGGUCUCCUCCCAAAGCGUAACGGAGGAGUUCGAAGGUUACCUAGGUCCGGUCGGAAAUCGGACUGAUAGUGCAAUGGCAAAAGGUAGCUUAACUGCGAGACCGACAAGUCGGGCAGGUGCGAAAGCAGGACAUAGUGAUCCGGUGGUUCUGUAUGGAAGGGCCAUCGCUCAACGGAUAAAAGGUACUCCGGGGAUAACAGGCUGAUUCCGCCCAAGAGUUCAUAUCGACGGCGGAGUUUGGCACCUCGAUGUCGGCUCAUCACAUCCUGGGGCUGUAGUCGGUCCCAAGGGUAUGGCUGUUCGCCAUUUAAAGUGGUACGUGAGCUGGGUUUAAAACGUCGUGAGACAGUUUGGUCUCUAUCUGCAGUGGG